RNAcentral lists this transfer RNA (72 nucleotides) under Schistosoma japonicum. RNAcentral's name for it is "tRNA-OTHER". The record is from RNAcentral. Lineage: Eukaryota; Metazoa; Platyhelminthes; Trematoda; Strigeidida; Schistosomatidae.
GGCUGAGUGGUCCAAUGGUAAAGCGCUCGCCGUGGAGCCAGACGGUUCUGGGUUCGAUUCCCAACAGGGUCG